AAGUCGUAACAAGGUUUCCGUAGGUGAACCUGCGGAAGGAUCAUUAUUGAAUUUUAAUGAAGAGUUUGGUUGUAGCUGGCCCAUUCAUUUGGGCAUGUGCACACCUUUCUCUUUCAUCCCACACACACCUGUGAACCUGUGAGACAGAUGGGGAAUUUACUUGUUGCUUUUUGGAAUACAAAGGCAAUAGGUCAUUGGACCCUCUGUCUACUCAAUUAAUAUAAACUCAAUUUAUUUUAAAACGAAUGUAAUGGAUGUAACACAUCUCAUACUAAGUUUCAACAACGGAUCUCUUGGCUCUC
Molecule: unclassified non-coding RNA, 302 nt
Filed under: Thanatephorus cucumeris
Lineage: Eukaryota; Fungi; Basidiomycota; Agaricomycetes; Cantharellales; Ceratobasidiaceae
Description: partial internal transcribed spacer region
Rfam family: Eukaryotic small subunit ribosomal RNA (bases 1-46)
Source: RNAcentral